RNAcentral lists this transfer RNA (65 nucleotides) under Dipodomys ordii (Ord's kangaroo rat). It matches the Rfam family "tRNA". From Rfam's summary of the family: Transfer RNA (tRNA) molecules are approximately 80 nucleotides in length. Their secondary structure includes four short double-helical elements and three loops (D, anti-codon, and T loops). The record is from Rfam by way of RNAcentral. Lineage: Eukaryota; Metazoa; Chordata; Mammalia; Rodentia; Heteromyidae.
GGUGGCUUAGUGGCAAAGUGCUUGCCUUGAAUGCAUGAGGCCCUGGGUUCGAUUCCUCAGCACCA